ACGGAGGAUGCGAGCGUUAUCCGGAUUUAUUGGGUUUAAAGGGUGCGUAGGUGGACUGUUUAGUCAGUGGUGAAAUGCUGAUGCUCAACGUUAGCAUUGCCGUUGAAACUGACAGUCUUGAGAGUGAUUGAGGCAGGCGGAAUGUGUGGUAUAGGGGGAAAAUGCAAAGAUAUGACAAGGAACUGCGAUAGAGAGGGAAGUUUACCAAGCCACAACUGACACUGAAGCACGAAAGCGUGGGGAUCAAACAG
This 251-nucleotide ribosomal RNA is filed under the name uncultured prokaryote. RNAcentral's name for it is "partial 16S rRNA". It matches the Rfam family "Bacterial small subunit ribosomal RNA", at positions 525 to 775 of the family's 1533-position model. The record is from RNAcentral.